GAUGAAGAACGCAGCGAAAUGCGAUAAGUAAUGUGAAUUGCAGAAUUCAGUGAAUCAUCGAAUCUUUGAACGCACAUUGCGCCCCCUGGUAUUCCGGGGGGCAUGCCUGUUCGAGCGUCAUUUCACCACUCAAGCCUCGCUUGGUAUUGGGCAACGCGGUCCGCCGCGUGCCUCAAAUCGACCGGCUGGGUCUUCUGUCCCCUAAGCGUUGUGGAAACUAUUCGCUAAAGGGUGUUCGGGAGGCUACGCCGUAAAACAACCCUAUUUCUAAGGUUGACCUCGGAUCAGGUAGGGAUACCCGCUGAACUUAAGCAUAUCAAUAAGCGGAGGA
Molecule: unclassified non-coding RNA, 331 nt
Filed under: soil metagenome
Description: partial contains 5.8S ribosomal RNA, internal transcribed spacer 2, and large subunit ribosomal RNA
Rfam family: 5.8S ribosomal RNA (bases 1-120)
Source: RNAcentral